UACGUAGGGGGCGAGCGUUGUCCGGAUUUACUGGGCGUAAAGCGCACGUAGGCGGAUUGUUAAGUGAGAGGUGAAAUCCCAGAGCUCAACUCUGGAACUGCCUUUCAUACUGGCAAUCUAGAGUCCGGAAGAGGUAAGUGGAACUCCUAGUGUAGAGGUGGAAUUCGUAGAUAUUAGGAAGAACACCAGUGGCGAAGGCGGCUUACUGGUCCGGUACUGACGCUGAGGUGCGAAAGCGUGGGGAGCGAACAGG
Molecule: ribosomal RNA, 253 nt
Filed under: uncultured bacterium
Lineage: Bacteria
Description: partial 16S ribosomal RNA
Rfam family: Bacterial small subunit ribosomal RNA
Source: RNAcentral